GGAAAUCUUCCCUUUUUUGUCCCGGUCUUGAAACGUGCUGAGCCUCGAGAGGCGGAGAAAAGAGUGGUGCACUGUCUGCAUCAUCACAGAUGUUUUUCUUUGCCUUGGCUUCCAAACUGGAGUACCUUUGUCCUGUUUCUGACUCUAAACGGAUGUAAAGAUGAGUAUCUUACGGGAUUUUGAAGCAGAAUUGGGUGGAUCUGUGGAAAGCCUGACAUAAUGCCUGGAGAAGGAAAUGGAAUGGAUGAGGACCAAUACACUGAAGCUCAAUAAAGACAAAACUGAGGAGCUGUUGGUCACUGACAUGGACACUCAAGGAUAGAAGAAUCAUCCAGUGCUAGAAGAAGUUGCACUCCCCUAGAAGGAGCAGAGUUAUACUUUGUGGGUGCUGCAGCAUCCUAGCAUGUGAUUGGAAACUCCAGUCUCUGUACUUUUUAUCAGCUUUGGCUGAUAUGCCAGCUACAGCCAUGCCUCACAUCCGCCCUGAGCCUGCUGAUGCGGGGAGGGCGGAAUAUAAAUCUAAUUAAAUAAAUAAAUAGUUACAAAAUGAAGUGGACUACCACUAACAGAGGGGAUUGAAUACAAUAGAAACAGAUAUAAUAAAUAUUUAUAAAGUGCAGUAGUGAUAAAAUGCUAGUACAUGUUAAAUAUGAUAAAUAUAAUAAAAUACAAUAUCAAAAUAUUUCACAAUUACUGUCCAGAAUAAAUACCAAACAAAAAUUUCCCAAGACAGCCAAAAAAGUACUUAAAUUUGUGCACAGGGACUCAUUUGUGUAGAAGGGACUCAUACCGACAUCUGAGGAGCUCCCUUGGCAAUUGUACAGCUGUCAGCACUUUCCUCCCUGCUUUAUGGUGCUAUGGGUGGAGACAGUGUGACAUCAGGGGCUUGUAAGCACAGCAGUGAGUGACAGUUCACUGUGCCCAUGUGUUCACUGUGUCCAACUAGCAGCAUCCAUGCCCUGCUGGCACAUCAUUGCUAUGAGUGUGCCACAGCUGUUAGGAUCAGAAUGGGGCUUCUCAACUACAACCUUAUUCCAUUUAUAAAAAUGCCUCCUGAACAACUCUAUUUUAUAUAUUCUGUAUAAUGAUACAAGUGUGGCCUCAUCAGUCAAGCCAUUCCACCAGGUGGGAGCUUCCAAGCAGGAGCCACAACAGAGAUCAGCUGUUGCGGGGUGGCACCUUCAGAAAGUUCUACUUUGAUCAAAAAUAUUACAGACAUGCAUACAUGUAUACUAUAUAUAUAUAUGACAUUAUAUGUGUCU
Long non-coding RNA from Eublepharis macularius, 1262 nucleotides. RefSeq lists it as uncharacterized. The transcript has 3 exons. Lineage: Eukaryota; Metazoa; Chordata; Lepidosauria; Squamata; Eublepharidae. The record is from RefSeq and is a predicted model, not a curated record.